GAAAAUGCAAUCAAAUGUUUUAGAGCUUAUUUUCCUUUUCUUAGGAUUGGGUAAUAUCACCUUACCUAGGCACUUCCACACUCUUAGAUAUUUAAGGUUAGGUUAUAAUAACCUUUCCACAACUCAUAGGGAGUUCUACCAGUUUUCUUAUGAAGUAUUCUAUUUUGUAAAAAACACACAGUAAGCAAGGCAAGGCUUCUCCCAAAAGGUUAUCAGGUGCACUAUAACUAAGAAGCAUCGCAUUCAUCAUCUAAGAGUUCUGUAUUCUUUCUCUAAGCUACUCCAUUAGACACAGAUGAAUAUGGUGGAAUUACUUCAUAGAUGAUACUUCUUUAACACAAAAAUCAUUAAAUAACACAUACUCACCACCUCUAUCUGAUCUAAACAUCUUAAUUUUCUUAUUUACUUAAGAACUUAUAUGUGGUGUAUUGCGCAAGCCCCCUA
RNAcentral lists this long non-coding RNA (444 nucleotides) under Vigna radiata. RNAcentral's name for it is "long non-coding RNA (VRAD_LNC001555)". The record is from RNAcentral. Lineage: Eukaryota; Viridiplantae; Streptophyta; Magnoliopsida; Fabales; Fabaceae.